UCAUACACAUACACACACUAGUUCUUACAAUUUCUGUUUCUAAGUUCUGUUACCGACUCCGAACAGUUUCCAGUUUCCUCUCACUUGCUCAGAGACAAAGAGGGAGAGGGAGAGAGAGAGAGGCAUCAUCAUCGUAAAAGGUUGGAAGAAACAGAGGAAAAAAAGGAUUGACUGUGUGUAGAGAGAGAUGGCAGUGAAACGACAGAAGCUUGAUUCGUCUGCCUAGUGUGUCGAUAUAUAUAGUUCUAUACGUUUGUUCAUCUUCCGCUUAAAUGGUGCGCCAGUAAAUCUCUAUGUAUAUAAUACAGUAGACUAGAGAAUCUCUAUGUAUAGAUGAAUGUCUAGGCAGCGUGUGUGUGGAAGGGCUCAUGCGUGUGUGUGUGUGUUAUUAUUAGAUGAAUGAGUAGGGUGUGUGGAAGAGAGAUUAUUAUUAGAUGAAUGUGUAGGGUGUGUGUGAGAGAGAGAUUAUUAUUAGAUGAAUGUGUAGGGUGUGUGUGAGAGAGAUUAUUAUUAGAUGAAUGGUGCAAUCAUAGCGACGAA
This is a long non-coding RNA of Capsella rubella, 540 nucleotides long. RefSeq lists it as uncharacterized. NCBI's taxonomy places the organism in Eukaryota, Viridiplantae, Streptophyta, Magnoliopsida, Brassicales, Brassicaceae. The record is from RefSeq and is a predicted model, not a curated record. The transcript has 2 exons.